This 222-nucleotide ribosomal RNA is filed under the name uncultured bacterium. RNAcentral's name for it is "partial 16S ribosomal RNA". It matches the Rfam family "Bacterial small subunit ribosomal RNA", at positions 524 to 743 of the family's 1533-position model. The record is from RNAcentral.
UACGUAGGGUGCGAGCGUUGUCCGGAUUUAUUGGGCGUAAAGAGCUCGUAGGCGGUUUGUCGCGUCGGCCGUGAAAUCUCCACGCUUAACGUGGAGCGUGCGGUCGAUACGGGCAGACUAGAGUGCGGUAGGGGAGACUGGAAUUCCUGGUGUAGCGGUGAAAUGCGCAGAGUAUCAGGAGGAACACCGGUGGGCGAAGGCGGGUCUCUGGGCCGUAACUGA